GGCGAUUCUUACGAGUUACAGUUGUUGAACAGAAAAUCGGCUGAGGAACCCCGGGCACGUUUUGGUCAAUCUUGGCUGUACAGAACGCUUAUCAGUAUAAAGUAUAAGUCAUAAUAUUUUGUUAAUGUUAUAAUAGAUAUUUUAUUUACAAAAACAAAAUUUAUCUACAAGUACUUAAUUUAAUUAAGCAUAAUUUUUUUGCAACUAAAGAUGAAUAUAGUAUCGUAUAUAGUUUAGUAAUGUAACGAAAUUUCACAAAAAUACCUCUCAAAUAGCCAGUUCUUU
Molecule: non-coding RNA, 285 nt
Organism: Paramuricea clavata
Lineage: Eukaryota; Metazoa; Cnidaria; Anthozoa; Malacalcyonacea; Plexauridae
Source: the annotation of a GenBank genome assembly